AGAUUAAGUUAUUAAGGGCGCACGGUGGAUGCCUUGGCACUAGAAGCCGACGAAGGACGUUACUAACGACGAUAUGCUUUGGGGAGCUGUAAGUAAGCUUUGAUCCAGAG
This 110-nucleotide ribosomal RNA is filed under the name Staphylococcus pseudintermedius. RNAcentral's name for it is "partial 23S ribosomal RNA". It matches the Rfam family "Bacterial large subunit ribosomal RNA", at positions 1 to 109 of the family's 2925-position model. Lineage: Bacteria; Bacillati; Bacillota; Bacilli; Caryophanales; Staphylococcaceae. The record is from RNAcentral.